CAGUAGCCACGGGAAUACGUAGGUGGCAAGCGUUGUCCGGAAUUAUUGGGCGUAAAGGGCUCGCAGGCGGUUUCUUAAGUCUGAUGUGAAAGCCCCCGGCUCAACCGGGGAGGGUCAUUGGAAACUGGGAAACUUGAGUGCAGAAGAGGAGAGUGGAAUUCCACGUGUAGCGGUGAAAUGCGUAGAGAUGUGGAGGAACACCAGUGGCGAAGGCGACUCUCUGGUCUGUAACUGACGCUGAGGAGCGAGAGCGUGGGGAGCGAACAGGAUUAGAGACCCGAGUAGUCCCUGUCUCUUAUAC
Molecule: ribosomal RNA, 301 nt
Filed under: uncultured bacterium
Lineage: Bacteria
Description: partial 16S ribosomal RNA
Rfam family: Bacterial small subunit ribosomal RNA
Source: RNAcentral